This 201-nucleotide long non-coding RNA is filed under the name Elaeis guineensis (African oil palm). Its description in RNAcentral is "long non-coding RNA (EGUI_LNC046870)". The record is from RNAcentral. Lineage: Eukaryota; Viridiplantae; Streptophyta; Magnoliopsida; Arecales; Arecaceae.
AGUGGGAUCAUCGCUUCUGUUCCAUAAGUCAGAUUGAAUGAUGAUUUUUCUGUUGGUAUGCAAGGAGUUGUUCGAUAUGUCCAUAAGAUCGGAUAUAGUUCUUCCACCCAGAGGUCUUUAGCUUCAUUCAGUCUGAUUUUGAGUCCAUGUAAGAUUAUUCAGUUUGUCACUUCCACUUCAUCGUUGGAUUGUGGAUGGCCG